Condylostylus longicornis is the source of this 80-nucleotide non-coding RNA. The record is from the annotation of a RefSeq genome assembly. NCBI's taxonomy places the organism in Eukaryota, Metazoa, Arthropoda, Insecta, Diptera, Dolichopodidae.
GACAAGUUGGCCGAGUGGUCUAAGGCGCUGCGUUCAGGUCGCAGUCCGAAAGGGCGUGGGUUCGAAUCCCACACUUGUCA